GACGAACGCUGGCGGCGUGCCUAAUACAUGCAAGUAGAACGCUGAAGGAGGAGCUUGCUUCUCUGGAUGAGUUGCGAACGGGUGAGUAACGCGUAGGUAACCUGCCUGGUAGCGGGGGAUAACUAUUGGAAACGAUAGCUAAUACCGCAUAAUAGCAGUUGUUGCAUGACAACUGUUUGAAAGGUGCAAUUGCACCACUACCAGAUGGACCUGCGUUGUAUUAGCUAGUUGGUGGGGUAACGGCUCACCAAGGCGACGAUACAUAGCCGACCUGAGAGGGUGAUCGGCCACACUGGGACUGAGACACGGCCCAGACUCCUACGGGAGGGAGCAGUAGGGAAUCUUCGGCAAUGGACGGAAGUCUGACCGGGAAACGCCGCGGGAGUGAAGAAGGGUUUCGGGUCGGAAAGCUCUGUUGUAAGGGAAGAAAGAGUGUGAGAGUGGAAAGUUCACAGUGUGACGGUAUCUUACCAGAAAGGGACGGCUAACUACGUG
This 495-nucleotide ribosomal RNA is filed under the name uncultured bacterium. Its description in RNAcentral is "partial 16S ribosomal RNA". It matches the Rfam family "Bacterial small subunit ribosomal RNA", at positions 28 to 507 of the family's 1533-position model. The record is from RNAcentral.